GCGCGAGUGGUGAAAUGGCAGACACGCCAGACUUAGGAUCUGGUCCCGUAAGGGGUGGAGGUUCAAGUCCUCUCUCGCGCA
This 81-nucleotide transfer RNA is filed under the name Pedosphaera parvula Ellin514. It matches the Rfam family "tRNA". From Rfam's summary of the family: Transfer RNA (tRNA) molecules are approximately 80 nucleotides in length. Their secondary structure includes four short double-helical elements and three loops (D, anti-codon, and T loops). The record is from Rfam by way of RNAcentral. Lineage: Bacteria; Pseudomonadati; Verrucomicrobiota; Pedosphaerae; Pedosphaerales; Pedosphaeraceae.